UGCUCAGGACGAACGCUGGCGGCGUGCCUAAUACAUGCAAGUCGAACGAGGUUUGGUCAGUUUGCGGUGGUGCUUGCAUCACCAAUUACCGAUCAAACCGAGUGGCGGACGGGUGAGUAACACGUGGGUAACCUGCCCUUCAGCAGGGGAUAACAUUUGGAAACAGAUGCUAAUACCGUAUAACCACGGAGACCGCAUGGUCUCCGGGUAAAAGAUGGCGCAAGCUAUCACUGAAGGAUGGACCCGCGGCGUAUUAGCCAGUUGGUGGGGUAACGGCCUACCAAAGCGAUGAUACGUAGCCGACCUGAGAGGGUAAUCGGCCACAUUGGGACUGAGACACGGCCCAAACUCCUACGGGAGGCAGCAGUAGGGAAUCUUCCACAAUGGACGCAAGUCUGAUGGAGCAACGCCGCGUGAGUGAAGAAGGCUUUCGGGUCGUAAAACUCUGUUAUUGAAGAAGAACGUGUGUGACAGUAACUGGUCAUGCAGUGACGGUAUUCAAUCAGAAAGUCACGGCUAACUACGUGCCAGCAGCCGCGGUAAUACGUAGGUGGCAAGCGUUGUCCGGAUUUAUUGGGCGUAAAGCGAGUGCAGGCGGUCUUUUAAGUCUGAUGUGAAAGCCUUCGGCUUAACCGAAGAAGGGCAUCGGAAACUGGGAGACUUGAGUGCAGAAGAGGAGAGUGGAACUCCAUGUGUAGCGGUGAAAUGCGUAGAUAUAUGGAAGAACUACCAGUGGCGAAGGCGGCUCUCUGGUCUGUAACUGACGC
RNAcentral lists this ribosomal RNA (767 nucleotides) under Lactobacillus sp. MR8. Its description in RNAcentral is "bacterial SSU rRNA". It matches the Rfam family "Bacterial small subunit ribosomal RNA", at positions 21 to 746 of the family's 1533-position model. Lineage: Bacteria; Bacillati; Bacillota; Bacilli; Lactobacillales; Lactobacillaceae. The record is from RNAcentral.